RNA transcript from Oreochromis niloticus (Nile tilapia), 3048 nucleotides. RefSeq lists it as uncharacterized. The record is from RefSeq and is a predicted model, not a curated record. The transcript has 2 exons. NCBI's taxonomy places the organism in Eukaryota, Metazoa, Chordata, Actinopteri, Cichliformes, Cichlidae.
UCAUUCAUGUGCACAUCAACUGAGAGCUGCAGAGGUCGUGUCUGAUGGACUAACAUCCAUCUGAGGCACAGCUUUCAUUAGUUCACUACAAAAAGUGUCACAGAGCCGAGUUCAGCCUCCAAAUCCUCCAUUAUUGAGGUCCUUCAAAGCAGCAGGUCAAACGUGGCUGUAGAAAUGGCAGAGAACAGCUUUAUUUCAGUAACAAUGUCCAGGACCGAGCUGACAGCUUGCAGAGUUCAUACUCUAUAACUGCUAGCUGCUCUGCUAGCUAAGCUAACUCAUGUUAAAUGUCAGAGUAAAGAACAGCACGCAGCAACACCACAUAAGAGCAGGCAGAGAGAGGUAUGGGGUCUUCACACACCCCUGUUCUCUGUUCACCAUCGGGGCAGGGGCCUGGGAGGAGGAGUUGGCCAUCUGGUCGAGGUCUGGGAUGCUGGGCCUCCCUGCUACUGCAGGACCAGGGGUGGUCUGCGUGUCUCCACCCCAGGGAAAAGGGCAACAUCUACUGGGUCUAGAGGCAGAUUGGGCCUCUGGGGGCGAUGGUACCUGGACCUGAGGGUAUAGAGUAUGUUUGGGGAGUGUGAGCAUGUGUACAAUGUUCAUUUCUGUUUGUCUCCACGUUGGGCGAGUGCUGCAUAUUUGUAUAUGUGCGCAUGAGGGUGGGAGUGCAUGCUUGUGUCUGUGUGUGCCUGUUUGUCUAUGUCUAUGUAUCAGGUUGGGGCUUAGACUCCACCUCUCUCCCCAGGUGUGGGGCCCUAUCUCCCCCCACCACACUCCCUGCCAGUGGCUGAUGCCCUCAGCCAUUGGUGCCUUGGUGGUGCUCGGCUUCCUGGGCUGCUGGCUUGACAGGGCUUGGCGCCAUGACUCAGUUGGGCCCCUUCCCAGGGGUGGGGGGCCCUCCAUCCUCUCUGGCGUGGCUAGCUACCGGCAGAGCCUGCGGGCACGUAACCUCAGCUCCCUGUGGCUUUUGCACCGCAGCUGCUGGGUGACCCCUCAGCUCUUGUCAGCUCUUUCUGGGAGGGUGGCACACCUGCCCCUCUGGUGGUCUUCCUUGGGCUCUCGUGCUCUGGGGGGGGGGCUCUGGAUGUCUGGUGCCUGGAUCUCCUCGAUGCCUGCUUUAUUCCCUGGGGGGCGGGGCUAUGGUUCCCCACACCCUCACGUAGAUAGUUACAUCGAGAAACCUUUUGAAUACAAGUGCGCUCAUCCACACAGGUGUGUGCACACAGACACAAACUAUACCUUUCUUGGCUGCUACCUCAGAGCAUAUUGUGUGCUGUCGGUCUUGUGUGUUGCCCAAAAACAUUUAAUAUUUAGUAUUUACUGUUACGUAUACUUAUCAGGGUUGUUGCUGUGGUCUCCCUACUGUGUUGCUCUCUUUUUGCUUGUUUUCUUUUUUUUCUUUCAACAGGUGAUCCAGCAGAUUUUUUGUGUGCCUUUUCUCACUGUCCCUCUUCCCCUCUGUUUUCUUUCCCUCCCUUUCUUUCUUUCUCUCUCUCCUAUCUCGCUGUCAUGUCUGUCUAUUUUGUAAUAACUUAAAAUAAAAUAAAUAAAUAAUAAUAACAAAGAUCAAUCAAGUGGACCAAUAUGGGAAAGCCAAAAUGAUCCACCUGGAUUAAAUAAAUCUGUUGGGCAUCUUUCUUGGCCUUCAGACAAUAAUUGUCAUGUGGACAUGUGUGUUUUUGGUGCUGCUGUCCCCUGUUUCCAUGUUGUUGUCUCUAGGUGGGUGUGUGUGGGUGUGUCAGCCCCGGCAUCAUCAAAGAAGCUCCUCACCGCAGCCGGAUUCCCGGACUUUUCAACAGCCAGCUGUGAGGUCAAUACACCUGCUGGUCCCACAUCAGUCGUCUCUGGAGGGUCCGAGGGGCUGCUUCAGCUGUCAUCUGCUUCACCAUCGGCAUCUGCUAUGCUGCCAUCAUCUCAUCUGUCUGCAGCUGCUACACCACCACCCUUUCACCUGCCUGCAACCGCUACACCACCAUUCUCUCCACCACCUGCAGCUGCAGCGCUACGUGGACCUACUCAACCCAGGCCAGAGGUCAGCGUGCCAGAGGGACGCCCUCCACGUCGCCCACGGCCAGUGCAUCCACGGCCAGCACAGCCAGCACAUCGGGGAUCAUGUGCCAUUCUACACUGUGGCUCACCGGAGCUGCGCCGCCACCACCAGACCCGUGGCAGGCCGCCUGAGCCGCAACGAGGUUGCCACUGGACUUGUGGCAGUAACAGUUUGAACAGGAUGAUUUACUGAAACUAUUUGAAAACAUCCAUCCAUUCGCUUCCGCUUAUCCUUUUCAGGGUCGCUGGAGCCUGUUUGAGCCUGUUUGUUUGAAAACAUAUCUUUGUUAUUGUUACUGCUACCUGCUUGGUACUUUUUCUGUACUGUGUGUUGUAGAGAGUAAGAUCUGAAGUUCUUUUAUUUUGGGACUAAACAUGCUGUACAGGAAGUCAGAAUCAGACCCAUCAGAUAUAAACCAGCAGACCCACAGAGCUGAAAGCAAAGCUGUGUCUGUACAUCUGCCUGUUUAAGCACAGGAAGUAGUUUCUAGUUUCAACUAGUUUGUCAACUUCCUGUGUGUGGUCAUGUGACUGUUAGUGACUCAGAGAGAUGUUAAAAACAGGAAGUGGGGUUGCUAAGCGGUUGCUACGUUUUUGAUGUCACACAAACUAGGACGAGGACCUUUGACCUGAGCAGGAAGAAGAGCCUGAUAAUCUGGAGAAACUCUGCCUGUGUAAAAAUAACAGCAUUAUCUACACACAGCUGGUUAUUGGUGUUCUGACAGACAUUUGGUAAAUCAUGAAUGUAAAAAGAAAAUAAAAGUGGUCCCAGGAUUGAACCUCUGGGUACUCCAACUUUACAAUCAAGGCAAGGAGAUUUAAUACAGAGUCUGUUUGAAAACAUACAAACUGACUCAUAACAGAGUCUUUUUUUCCUUCAAACAUCCAGGACAACAAACGUGUCUGUAAACAGCAGCUGAAACUUCCAGAAACUGAAGAAAAAAAAACACUCAACUCAAAGCUUCAAGAAACCAAACUAUGAACCCUGGGUCUGUUGCC